AUGGCUGAUGAGCCUAGAGAUCCAGCGCUUCAUGACCCCACAGAGCUAGUAAACCUGAAAACUUUUGAAUGUGAAGGAAAUCAACCUGAGGAUGCUUUAGACCUGCAAAACAGGUCAAAGGGUAUUAGAGGAGUAGAAGCCAAUUAUGCUUUGAAGCUUGCGAACAAUCCUCCAAAGAGAUCUAAGUUAGAUGAACACAAAGUAGCAAUGCUUGGUAAAAAGCGAGCCAGACAAACUGUGAUAAUUAAUGACGAGGAUGCAAAGCAAGCUGGUAUAAUGACAAUAUCAACACCCAGGAGACAAUCUCGUGCAGCUGGUGAAGUAGCUGCAGGAACACAGAACCAGCUGGCCAUCAGGGACCAGAGGCAAUCUGAAAUGAUGGGUCCAGAACGAAGUAAUUCUGCCACCCCAAGUGAUAGAAAUGCAGAUUCCAGUGUUGAUGUUGAAUUGGCAUCUCCGAACUGGUCAAAGAAAAUGAAUGCUGAAAUGCCCCCCUCAGAUGGGUACCAACAAUCUGUACCAAGGCAGGCCACUUUGAGGCAAAGUAUGGAUUCCAAGCAGUUCAAGGGCCGACCACUCUCUUCUCAGAGAGCAGAUGUAACAGGGCAGAACAUGGCAGAUCAGAAACGAGCCAACAAGAGGUCUUUUGUUUCCAAGAAAGAAGCUUCAGCAAAUUAUACACAAUAUCAUGACACAUCUGUUGAACGACUUCUACAGGAAGUGACAAGUGAUAAGUUCUGGCAUAAUCCAGAGGAGUCGGAACUUCAAUCUGUUCCUGGAAGCUUUGAAUCUGCUGAGGAGUACAUUAGAGUUUUUGAGCCUUUGCUUUUUGAGGAAUGCAGAGCUCAGCUACACAGUUCUUAUGAGGAAUCCCUUGAGGCUGUCUCAAGGGAUGCACAUGUAAUGGUGCGCAUUAGAACCGUGGAUAGGCGUGAAAGAGGGUGGUAUGAUGUUCUUGUUCUACCAGCACAUGAAUAUAAGUGGACUUUUAAAGAAGGAGAAGUUGCAGUUUUGUCAUUCCCUCGGCCUGAUUCAGCUGCACAGUCAAGUGAUUCUAAUAGGAAGACUGUUGGUUCAAAUGAAGAUGCCGAGUCAGAGUGUGGACGGCUUGUUGGUAGAGUCCGGCGCCAUAUGCCUAAUGAUACAUGUGAUCCCAUUGGAGCAAUUAUCCGUUUUUAUGCUGGGAACCCUUCUGAUUCUAGCUGUGGGAUUAAUGUUCUGGGGAAACUCCAACCUCAAAGCACCUGGUAUCUAACUGGUCUCGGUUCUCUCGCAACAACACAAAGGGAGUAUAUUGCGUUGCACGCAUUCCGCCGUCUUAAUGUGCAGAUGCAAAAUGCAAUUCUUCAGCCGAGUCCAGAGCACUUCCCCAAGUACCAAGAGCAGCCACCUGCUAUGCCUGACUGCUUCACUCCAAAUUUUUCUUGUCAUCUCCAUCAUACAUUCAAUGGGCCUCAGCUAUCAGCAAUCCAUUGGGCUGCAAUGCAUACAGCUGCUGGCAGAGGCAAUGGAGUAGUGAAGAAACAAGAACCAUGGCCUUUCACAUUGGUACAAGGUCCUCCAGGGACAGGGAAAACUCAUACUGUUUGGGGAAUGCUAAAUGUUAUUCAUCUUGUUCAGUAUCAACAUUACUAUGCUGCUCUGCUAAAAAAACUUGCUCCUGAAAGUUAUGAGCAAGUUGGUGGUAGUGCUAGCAGCACCUCAGAAGCUGUUGCUGCAGGCUCAAUGGAUGAAGUUUUGCAGAGCAUGAAUCAGAACCUGUUUCGCACUCUUCCCAAGCUUUGCCCCAAACCGCGGAUGCUUGUUUGUGCCCCAUCAAAUGCUGCAACAGAUGAGCUGCUUGCUCGUGUUCUAGAUCGUGGUUUCAUAGAUGGUGAGAUGAGGGUCUACCGCCCUGACGUUGCCCGUGUUGGAGUUGAUUCACAGUCCCGUGCUGCACAAGCUGUUUCAGUUGAGCGACGGACGGAACAGCUUUUAAUGAAGGGACGUGAGGAAGUAAUUGGGUGGCUGCAUCAACUAAAAGUCCGUGAACAACAAUUAUCACAAGAGAUAACACUUCUGCAGAGGGAACUUAAUAUGGUUGCAGAGGCUGGUAGAUCUCAGGGUUCGUUUGGAGUAGAUCCAGACAUGCUUGCUCAAAGGGAUCGUAACCGUGAUAUACUGCUUCAGAAACUUGCUGCUUCUGUGGAAAGCAGGGAUAAAGUACUGGUUGAGAUGUCACGCCUGCUGAUAUCAGAAAGCAGGUUCCGUGUUGGCAGAAACUUCAAUCUGGAAGAUGCUAGGGCUAGUCUGGAAGCUAGUUUUGCCAGUGAAGCGGAAAUUGUUUUUACUACAGUAUCAAGCAGUGGUCGCAAGUUAUUCUCCGCCCUUAAUCAUGGCUUUGAUAUGGUUGUUAUUGAUGAGGCUGCUCAGGCCAGUGAAGUAGGAGUCCUCCCUCCACUUUCACUUGGUGCAGCUAGAUGUGUCUUGGUUGGUGAUCCACAGCAGCUCCCUGCCACUGUUAUUAGCAAAGCAGCAGGAACUUUACUCUACAGCAGGAGUCUUUUUGAGAGGUUUCAGCAAGCUGGUUGCCCUACCAUUUUGCUGUCAGUGCAAUAUCGGAUGCAUCCCCAGAUCCGUGAAUUUCCAUCAAGAUACUUUUACCAAGGCCGCCUUACAGAUAGUGAAAGUAUCGCCAACUUGCCCGAUGAGGCAUUCUAUAAAGAUGCAUUAAUGACACCUUACAUUUUCUAUGACAUCUCGCAUGGGCGUGAGUCCCAUAGAGGCGGGUCAUCUUCAUACCAGAAUGUCCAUGAAGCACAGUUUGCAUUGUGUUUGUAUGAGCAUCUUCAGAAGUUCCUGAGAGCUAAUGGUGGCAAGAAAGCAUCUGUUGGUAUAAUCACUCCUUAUAAGUUGCAGUUGAAGUGUCUUCAGCGGGAAUUUGCGGAGGUUAUGAAUACCGAGGAAGGGAAAGAUAUCUACAUAAACACAGUUGAUGCUUUUCAAGGCCAGGAGCGUGAUGUGAUUAUUAUGUCAUGUGUCCGUGCCUCAAACCACGGUGUCGGUUUUGUUGCAGAUAUACGUCGUAUGAAUGUUGCUCUUACUCGAGCUAGGAGAGCUCUAUGGGUUAUUGGUAAUGCCAAUGCCCUCAUGCAGUCAGAGGAUUGGGCGGCACUGGUAGCAGAUGCAAAGGCGAGGAAAUGUUUCAUGGACUUGAGUAGCAUCCCGAGUGACUUCCUAGCUAUGAACAAGUUUUCAAACGCCCGGGGCCUGAAUUCUUCAAGCAGCACAAGGUACAUGAGGACUAGUGGACCGAGACCGACGCAUUUCGACAUGCUUCCGGCACCAAGGAUGGGUAUGACGGCCGGUGAGGAUGGCCAUCCCAAUUCUGUUGCGAGAAAUGGUAGUUACCGGAAUCUGUCCAAUGAUGUGGGGCAUCCUGGUGAUAGGUCUAGAGAUAAUUUGCAGUUUGGGAGGAUCAGGGGGCCGAAUCCGUCCAAUGAUCCGAGGAGACAAGCCUAA
This 3501-nucleotide ribosomal RNA is filed under the name Triticum aestivum (bread wheat). Its description in RNAcentral is "partial small subunit ribosomal RNA". Lineage: Eukaryota; Viridiplantae; Streptophyta; Magnoliopsida; Poales; Poaceae. The record is from RNAcentral.